UUAUCUACCCUGCAGAUAUCAUGAUCACGAAGGUGGUUUUCCCAGGGUGAGGCUCAUCCAUUGCACUGCGAGUGUGCUGACCCUUGCGAUUUCCCCAAAUGCGGGAAACUCGACUGCAUAAUUUGUGGUAGGGGGGACUGCGUUUGCACUCUCCCCUU
RNAcentral lists this small nuclear RNA (158 nucleotides) under Gopherus evgoodei (Goodes thornscrub tortoise). RNAcentral's name for it is "U1 spliceosomal RNA (ENSGEVG00005005880.1)". It matches the Rfam family "U1 spliceosomal RNA". From Rfam's summary of the family: U1 is a small nuclear RNA (snRNA) component of the spliceosome (involved in pre-mRNA splicing). Its 5' end forms complementary base pairs with the 5' splice junction, thus defining the 5' donor site of an intron. There are significant differences in sequence and secondary structure between metazoan and yeast U1 snRNAs, the latter being much longer (568 nucleotides as compared to 164 nucleotides in human). The record is from Rfam by way of RNAcentral. Lineage: Eukaryota; Metazoa; Chordata; Testudines; Testudinidae.